CAAUAACCGGGAAGGUGGACUCUCAGAAGAGAGCUUGCACAUGCACCCUGCAUGUCUGUCUGCAGGACAGGUAUUCACAGAUCUCCACUCCCCUGGUUUAACUCCAGCCUUGGGUGCGCAAACAAGCAUGUCUCACCACGCAUCUCUUCUUGUCCACCUUUUCAGAUGAGUAGCUCCUUUUCAGCUUGGUGACCAAACCGAAUGGAUGCUGCGGUGGGUCACUCCUGAGUCACUUCCUAGGACUCCCCAGUUUGCUCUACCUGUGUCCAGCAAGGAGACCGCAUCCUUGGUCACUUAUUAUCAGACGACUCCCAAGGCAAAGAGCAAGAGAAACCGUGCAAUUCCUAAUAAGCUCAUCAUUAGCCACACGACUCCUGGUCCACUAUUGCCAGUUAAUGACCAAACCUCACAGUGUAGACAACUGACAUUUUGCCUGAGCAGCCGUCUCUGGCCAGUGAUAAUUAACCUGAAGGAUAACUAUAAAUACUGCGUGUAA
RNAcentral lists this long non-coding RNA (496 nucleotides) under Sus scrofa (pig). Its description in RNAcentral is "lncRNA (ENSSSCG00040062933.1)". Lineage: Eukaryota; Metazoa; Chordata; Mammalia; Artiodactyla; Suidae. The record is from RNAcentral.